GAUGAACGCUGGCGGCGUACCUAAUACAUGCAAGUCGAGCGAACGGACGAGAAGCUUGCUUCUCUGAUGUUAGCGGCGGACGGGUGAGUAACACGUGGAUAACCUACCUAUAAGACUGGGAUAACUUCGGGAAACCGGAGCUAAUACCGGAUAAUAUUUUGAACCGCAUGGUUCAAAAGUGAAAGACGGUCUUGCUGUCACUUAUAGAUGGAUCCGCGCUGCAUUAGCUAGUUGGUAAGGUAACGGCUUACCAAGGCAACGAUGCAUAGCCGAACUGAGAGAGUGGUCGGCCACACGGGAACUGAGACAGGGACCAGACUCCUACGGGACGCAGCAGUAGGGUAUCGUCCGCAGUGGGCGAGAGCCUGACAGAGCAACGCCGCGUGAGUGAUGAAGGUGUUCGGAUCGUAAAACUCUGUUACUAGGGAAGAACAGAUGUGUAAGUAGCUGUGCACAGCUUGACGGUACCUAAUAAAAAAGCCACGGCUAACUACGUG
Molecule: ribosomal RNA, 497 nt
Filed under: uncultured bacterium
Lineage: Bacteria
Description: partial 16S ribosomal RNA
Rfam family: Bacterial small subunit ribosomal RNA
Source: RNAcentral